RNAcentral lists this ribosomal RNA (253 nucleotides) under uncultured bacterium. RNAcentral's name for it is "partial 16S ribosomal RNA". It matches the Rfam family "Bacterial small subunit ribosomal RNA", at positions 524 to 776 of the family's 1533-position model. The record is from RNAcentral.
AACGUAGGUACCGAGCGUUAUCCGGAUUUACUGGGCGUAAAGCGUGUUCAGGCGGCCUGGCAAGUCGGGCAUGAAAUCUCUCGGCUCAACCGAGAGAGGCUGUCCGAUACUGCUGGGCUUGAGGACGGUAGAGGGUGGUGGAAUUCCGCGUGUAGUGGUGAAAUGCGUAGAUAUGCGGAGGAACACCAGUGGCGAAGGCGGCCACCUGGACCGUCCCUGACGCUCAAACACGAAAGCUAGGGUAGCGAACAGG